This is a long non-coding RNA of Acanthopagrus latus (yellowfin seabream), 397 nucleotides long. RefSeq lists it as uncharacterized. The transcript has 2 exons. Lineage: Eukaryota; Metazoa; Chordata; Actinopteri; Spariformes; Sparidae. The record is from RefSeq and is a predicted model, not a curated record.
CAGGGGCUCCGUACGUGAGCGGGGAAAAAAAACAAAGACAGGAGAGAGAAAAAAGGGGCUGCCUUCCCAAGUCUGCAGCGCCUCUAUGAGGGAGUGCAUGCGAAAGGGGAAAAAAAGAUCAAAGCCGAUGCCGUAAAGCUUCAGAGAUUUUUUUAAUUGGCUCAUCUGUGGACAAGCUUGAUAGACGAGCAGUUCCCGACAUGUCCGCCGUCUAAAGUUCUACUGCAUUGUGGGAAUCCAGUCCAGAGGCCGAGGAUUCUGGGACACCAAGUAAUGACAGGACUGUUAGCUAGCUAGAUAUCUGGCUGUCUAGAUCAUAGACAUAUAGCCAUUAUUAUGCAGCAAAAUCGGAUUUUGAACUAAAAUAUCACCAACAAUAAAAUACUCAAAACACUCA